Molecule: non-coding RNA, 69 nt
Organism: Rattus norvegicus (Norway rat)
Lineage: Eukaryota; Metazoa; Chordata; Mammalia; Rodentia; Muridae
Source: Rfam
GGGGAUUUAGCUCAGUGGUAGAGCGCUUGCCUACCAAGUGCAAGGCCCUGGGUUCGGUCCCCAGCUCCG